CUUAUUCUGAAACGAGGAUCAGUGAGAAAAUAGGCUGGCUACAUCUCCACCUACUUGGAGCUCUUUGGCCAGAGCGGAGGAUAUUGAUUGUCCCAGGUUAAAACAGAUUUCCUACAGCAUGUCAUUUUCCCGGUUCAAGAUCCGUGAGGUGGCUUCAUCAAUCUAAUUUAUCACCAUGACAUAAACAUUGUGGUCAUCUGGUAGGAGAGAGUGACGCAACGUGAAAGAAGUUCAAGAAUUUUCUGUGAAAUAUUCAGGAGCUGAUAUGAUUUGAGCAUGUUACGUAUUCCUUGAGUCUAGCAUAAGUAUCGGUGGUAGCAUCAAUGCCUUUUGUGGUAAUAUAUCAGCUGAUGUUAGACAGAUGUCAACAUUUGUUUCCAGGGUGUGAUCCACCCAAUGUAGCUAAUGGCUAGUGGUCGGUGCUCUGUAGACCCCACCAUGAUGUAGGUCUUUCAUCCAUGCCGUCCAUCACCUUUUUGUAUGUCAUUUCAUGGUAUGAGACCACAAUUUAUAUGUAUCAAAAUCUCAACUGGACCACGUUACAGGAAAUAGUUUUGAAUAUCUGUCGGCCAUUAAAAAUC
This is a long non-coding RNA of Magnolia sinica, 581 nucleotides long. RefSeq lists it as uncharacterized. The record is from RefSeq and is a predicted model, not a curated record. The transcript is spliced from 3 exons. Lineage: Eukaryota; Viridiplantae; Streptophyta; Magnoliopsida; Magnoliales; Magnoliaceae.